AUUGAACGCUGGCGGCAUGCCUUACACAUGCAAGUCGAACGGCAGCGGGGGAGAAGCUUGCUUUUCCUGCCGGCGAGUGGCGAACGGGUGAGUAAUACAUCGGAACGUGCCCUGUAGUGGGGGAUAACUAGUCGAAAGAUUAGCUAAUACCGCAUACGACCUGAGGGUGAAAGUGGGGGACCGCAAGGCCUCAUGCUAUAGGAGCGGCCGAUGUCUGAUUAGCUAGUUGGUGGGGUAAAGGCCUACCAAGGCGACGAUCAGUAGCUGGUCUGAGAGGACGAUCAGCCACACUGGGACUGAGACACGGCCCAGACUCCUACGGGAGGCAGCAGUGGGGAAUUUUGGACAAUGGGCGAAAGCCUGAUCCAGCAAUGCCGCGUAUGUGAAGAAGGCCUUCGGGUUGUAAAGCACUUUUGUCCGGAAAGAAAUGGCUCUGGUUAAUACCCGGGGUCGAUGACGGUACCGGAAGAAUAAGGACCGGCUAACUACGUGCCAGCAGCCGCAGUAA
RNAcentral lists this ribosomal RNA (508 nucleotides) under uncultured bacterium. Its description in RNAcentral is "partial 16S ribosomal RNA". It matches the Rfam family "Bacterial small subunit ribosomal RNA", at positions 30 to 523 of the family's 1533-position model. The record is from RNAcentral.